CGCUAUAUUUAUUUGUAGGUAAUUACCUACCGUUUUAAUUAAACACCGACUGCGUUUUUUGCCGUAGGUAAUUACCGACCGAUUUUCGGAUAUCACCAACCGCGCGACCGUCGGUAAAUUACUACUAGUAAUUUCGGAAAUAUUAACACCCACGUUUCCCGGCCUUUUUACUCUAUAGCAAUCAGUAAAUUAAAAAAUAACCCUAACAUUCCCUUGGAGAAACCGACGUCUCCUUCUCCUUCACCAUCAUCGUUGCCGGUUUUCCUUCAUCUCCACAGUGUUGUUGUCGCCGGUUUCAGGUAUUCCUUCAUCUCCAUAGUGUUGUCGUCGCCGGAUUUUUUUUACUUCUGAUUUCAAUUGCAAUUCUGAAGUUCUAUUGUGCACCUGCCGCAUCACCCUCGCAAUGGGUCAACUGCACAACCACCGCGCGCGCGCACCGUCGUUUCUUGGUUUGUUUCGCCAAUCCACAACAGAAUUGAGUAUCAUGAAGCGAAGAGAGCGUAGUUAGAUGUAUGAUAGGCAUGAGGGACGCUUUCUCAAGACUGAGUUUAUGAAUGGAAGGUGUUGUGGAACCUGGACAUUGUCAAGGUUCAAUUUUUAAGGCCGAGUAUGCAAGAAGGAUGGCUGCAAAGAAUGGAGGAGUCUUGCCAAAAGCUGUUGAUAUUUACUUGGAGACACAUUCAAAGGAACGACAAUCAGGCCAAGACAAGCAACUCAUUGGGUCCAAAUGAUGACCCACGUGACCCACGUGAUCCUCCUGGUGGUGGAUUGGGAUUUCCUUGUAGUACUUAGACUUAUAGCCUUUUAUUAGUAUAUAAUAUAUAUUUUGAGAAAAAUGAUGUUUAAUUUAGGUUGUUGGAACUACUAUUAGAUCUAAGAUCUAUAUUGUGGAGAAUAUGAUGUUUAAUAUAAGUUGUACCAAACCUAUUAUUUUGAUAUGGAAUGAAGAAUUAGUUUAUUUUAA
Long non-coding RNA from Beta vulgaris subsp. vulgaris (sugar beet), 964 nucleotides. RefSeq lists it as uncharacterized. Lineage: Eukaryota; Viridiplantae; Streptophyta; Magnoliopsida; Caryophyllales; Amaranthaceae. The record is from RefSeq and is a predicted model, not a curated record. The transcript is spliced from 3 exons.